Molecule: non-coding RNA, 4020 nt
Organism: Python bivittatus (Burmese python)
Lineage: Eukaryota; Metazoa; Chordata; Lepidosauria; Squamata; Pythonidae
Source: RefSeq, a predicted model, not a curated record
UCUAAUUUUUUCUUUCUUUAUAAUAUCAGAUUCUAAAUAAAAACAUUUAAAUGCUUACAAAAUGUUGAUUGCAGUUAUCAGUAACUGGUGAGUUUAUAUUAUAACCUGUAAGCAUAUAUGUGUGGAGCCAGUGGUUAAGGCAUCAGACUGGAAACCAGGAGAGGGUGAGUUCUGGUCUUGCCUGGACACAGAGCUGGCCGGGGGGCCCUGGGGCAGCCAGUUCUGCCACUGUUAGGAAGAACUACUGGGUUUAACAUGUCACUGUAACAUGGAUUUGCAAUUUUUUUUAAUCCCACCUUUAUUAUUUUUGUAAAUAACUCAAGGCAGCAAAUGUACCAAAUACUCCUUCCUCCUCCUAUUUCUUGUAUUGUGGUGUACAAAUUUGUAUUUGGCUUGGAAAAAGCUGCACAAAACAGUGUUUUCUGCACCUGGCAUGUCAGAAGUUACAGGAACAUUGCAGGGAGGACCAGUUUUCACAAUCAUUUGGUGGUAGACCAGGAGGAAGCUCAGAGUGGGGUGGUGGGGAGAUAAGUACAGAUAUGUAGAGAUAUACACACACACAAAUAUUGAAAACAAAGUUAAAUUCAUAAUAAUAUGUUUCUUUUUUAUGUAUUAGUGAUAUCUAGUUCCUACUUGAGUUUAACAUGUUGUUGUAUUCAUAAAAAUUAAUAAAUAUAUAAGUGUGUGGUUUUCCAAGUCAGUCUGCAACCUGCAGGGAUCCUUAUGUACGGUUCAGCGGCCUCUGUUUCUGUUUGAGUUCAACUCCACUGCUGGAGGUGAUUGAUCCCGUGGCCUCUUCCUCCUCUCCAGGGACCGGGUCUGCUAGACUGCAAUUGGUAGAUGCAGUAAGGAGGUGGAGAAAUAAGAACGCUUCGCUACCCACAUCACUGUGAUGUAAUCCCUACUCAUGCUUCGCUUCACUCUUCAUCUUCCUCCAAUGACGGUCCUUUUGUCUCUUCUUGUGCUUCACUUCCUGAAGCUCCUCGAUGGACCAAGGUGCACCCUGGGAUCGCCACCCAACAGAGGCCACAUGGGAGCAAUACAGUCCAAGGGCUCGGGCUCCUGCCCGUGCCAGGCCAUGACCAGGGCCUCAGCCAAACCAACCCUCAGGGAGGCCCAAGCUCCCUCUGAAACGAAACUGGCUCUAUCAGUCAGUCGCCUGGGGUGGGCAGUCAAACAGGCCCUGCAGGGUGGGGUGUCAUGACCCCCAUAAAUAUGCUUUUUCAUAAACCAAUUCUGCUACAUUCCGAGGACAGGACAGAAUUCGCUGCUCAAGCCUACAAACUGUGUUAGGGCUUGUCUUAGCUUGUGUCAGCCCAGACGGACUGGCUAACCGUUAGCUUCAAGGGAGCAUUGCCUGUGUUUGGUUCAGAACUCUCUCUCAGGAUGAUUUUGCCUGCUCAUCGUAGUGAAAAGCCACCCUCGCAAUAUGCUAUUCAGGUGGCGGAAACAGUCCCUGCAAACUGCCUGUCGUAGACACCACAUCAGAUCCAGCUGUAUUUAGUAACUUGCUCCCUUUGGAUUUCAGUAUGCAAACCCGGCUUGCUUAGCAGACUGGUGCAAAUGAACCUUGUCUGAGCACUAUUAACCUGCUUAACCCUGAGUCACUGCGACUUCACACACCGCGGAUCUGAGCCUCUGCAUCUGCUCUCCUGGGGGGCCAGGACUGGACUCCGAAAGGCGGCCGGGCGACGCCGGGCAACUCGAGCAUCUCAGGCGGCGGCGGCGGCCCCGCGGCGGGCGUUGCGGGGCGCCUUCCUCCUCCGGAUAAAGGGGCAGGCCUGGAAUCAGCCUAUUUCGUCUCCGGACGGCCGUCCCUCAUGAGCAAAUUGCAAGAACGGGAGUUCUUGCGAGCGGCUGGGAGACGAGGCUGAGGCGCAGCUGGACGCGGCCAACCCCAUUUCUGUAGCGCCUCUGGAUUAUGAUUAUCCUCCAGUUUGAGAGAGACUCCUUUUUUCGGCAGAUAAGUAUUUCUUCUGGUAGUUUUGUCAUUUGGGGGGGGGACGAUAAAGUUUGGGAAGAUCUGGAGAUUUUAAGUAAUUACAUCAUUGAAAACUUUGCAAAAAGCUGGAUAAUUAAAGUGAUAAAGCUAACAACGGAGAAAGGGGAAAUCUUUCUUUUAAUUUUUUUUUAAAGUUUAAUUUUUCAUGGAUCUGCAUUGUUAAAACCGUAACUGCUUUAAUGGGACUCUUUUCUUCCAUGGGAAUGCUUUUUGUUUUAUUUUAACGGACCUGAUAACUGGCCGGGAUCAUAUCUCAAAAGAGCACAGUAAUCAGCCUGGCCUAUUUUUCAGCGGAGCCUGUUUUCAGUGGAGACGCCUGCUGGUAAUUGCCUGCAAUUACAGUUUUAAAAGAUUUUUUUUUUCUUUUUCUUUUUCCUUCCCUUUUCCGAUCUACAAUUCUACUUUUUUGAUUUUGCUAUAAUGGCAACACGUAGAACCUGAUUGGAUGUUAGGAGAGCCUCUGCGGAGCAGCCAUCAGAGAGGAAAGAUAAAGAAGAUAAACCUAGUGUAAUUAAGUCAAUGUUUGAUGAAUUAGGAGCUAAACUGGCUCAGUGAGUGGACACUAAAUUAGAUGCUAAAUUUAUGACUUUUGAAAAAAAGAUGGAAGAAAGAUUGGAUAAGAUGGAUAUUUUUGUAAAACAAAUGUCUACAGAUAUGAAACAAACGUCUGGAGAAAUAAAACAAACUAAUGAUACAAUAGAAAUCUUAGAGAAUAAAUCAGGAAUUAGAGAUAUAGAAUUUGAAAGAGGAAUGGAUAAUUUGGCUCGGUUGGAACUUAGAAAUAAUUUUGUUUGAGAUUUAGAGCCAUUCCAGAGGAAGAUAUCAGGAGAAAGGUGAUCCAGGCAUUGUUGGAUUUUUUAGACUGGGAAGAGGAGGAGACUGGAGAGGAGAUUGACAAAGUGUGUUGCAUUAAUUAAUGUUUUGCCACAAUAAGACAUGUGCCAAGAGAUGUUUUAGUGCAUUUUAUAAGGAGAAGGACAAGAGAUCAAGUUCUGCAACAGCAUUUUAAUUCUAGAUUGAAUAUUGAUAAUGCAGAUAUAAUUAUUUUAAAAGAAAUCCCUAUUAGAAUUUUACAUAGAAGGUGUAACUUUUACUUUUCAACAGAGAAGAUUUCAAUUGCAUUUUGUUCAAAAGGCUAGAGCACUUUUGGAAAAAUGUAAAGGAGACUUAAAAGAGGUUCAAAGGGAAAUUGCAGAGAAAACUGACCAAAAAUCACAACAGACAAAAGGAGCUUGCAAAAGAUGACUUGGAGUUAGAUGCUACUGGUAUAGACUUUUCUGAAUUAUUCAUUUAACCAUGGAUUAUAAAUGUCUAAUGUGGAAUAUAAAUGGGGCAAAUUCCCCUCAGAAAAAGGAAAACAUUAUUUCACCAUCUGAAAAAAUUAAAACAAGAUAUAAUUUGUCUGCAAGAGACUCAUUGGAAAUAAAGACAUGAAGUAUUUAACUUGUAAAAAUUUGGGAGAAGACAGGACCGAAAAAAAAUGGAGUUGUUUUAUACAUUAACCCCCAUCUAAAACCACUAUUAAUAUUGACUAAUCAACAUGGCAGAAAUGUGGGGGUGGAAAUUGAACUACAAGGACUUAAAACUUUUGUUUUGGGACUUUAUGCUCCAAAUGAAGAUAAAGGAAAUUUUUAUAAUUGACUUAUGGAACAAUUGAUAAACCUUUCAUAUCAGAAUUGGUGUUUGAUGGGAGACUGGAAUGGUGUAGUCUCUCCACAGUUAGGCAGAACAUCUGAGAAGAAAAUUAAAAAUACCCAAGGUAAAUUACAAAAGACUUUUUUUGAUUUGAUGGAUAACUUUAGUGGGCAUACAGAGACAAAAAAAAUGGCAAUUCCAGAGAAUAUACUUAUUUUUCAGAAAGGCAUGGAUUGUUUUCAAGAAUAAGUAUGAUAUGGAUUUCAAAAAAAACGUAGAGAACAAUUUAAACAAAAGCAUGGAUUUAAGAACAUUUUGGGAUUCAAGCAAAGCUUUUAUUAGAGGCUAUUUUAUUCAACAUAAUAAUUGGGGGGGGGGGGAAA